UACGGAAGGCAGCAGUGGGGAAUAUUGCACAAUGGGCGAAAGCCUGAUGCAGCUAUGCCGCGUGUAUGAAGAAGGCCUUAGGGUUGUAAAGUACUUUCAUCGGGGAGGAAAAACAAAACUAAUAAUUUUAUUUCUUGACGUUACCCGAAAAAGAAGCACCGGCUAACUCCGUGCCAGCAGCCGCGGUAAUACGGAGGGUGCUAGCGUUAAUCAGAAUUACUGGGCGUAAAGAGCACGUAGGUGGUUUUUUUAAGUCAGAUGUGAAAUCCCUGGGCUUAACCUAGGAACUGCAUUUUGAAACUGAAAUACUAGAGUAUCGUAGAGGGAGGUAGAAUUCUAGGUGUAGCGGUGAAAUGCGUAGAUAUCUGGAGGAAUACCUGUGGCGAAAGCGGCCUCCUAAACGAAUACUGACACUGAGGGUGCGAAAGCGUGGGGAGCAAACAGGGAUUAAUACC
This 455-nucleotide ribosomal RNA is filed under the name uncultured bacterium. RNAcentral's name for it is "bacterial SSU rRNA". It matches the Rfam family "Bacterial small subunit ribosomal RNA", at positions 340 to 786 of the family's 1533-position model. The record is from RNAcentral.